Molecule: long non-coding RNA, 349 nt
Organism: Talpa occidentalis (Iberian mole)
Lineage: Eukaryota; Metazoa; Chordata; Mammalia; Eulipotyphla; Talpidae
Exons: 3
Source: RefSeq, a predicted model, not a curated record
GGGCGACGGGGGCCUGAGGAAGCUCCCUCGCCGGGGCCUCAGCGGCCUGAUGGAGUAAGAAGGGUCGGCUUGAGUGUGUGACUUUGAAUGCUUCAGAUCUGAUCACUAUGGUACGAGAACGAAAAUGCAUAUUGUGCCACAUUGUGUACAGCUCAAAAAAGGAGAUGGACGAACACAUGAGGAGCAUGUUGCAUCACAGGGAACUUGAAAACCUGAAGGGCAGGUAUGGGAACCGCUAUCUUCCAUAAACUUGUGAGUGUUGGGGGGUCUGUGUGCUGAUAAGCCUGCCAGCUCAUUCCUUUUUUUUUUUUUAAAGAUUUAUUUUAUUUAUUUAUUUAUGCAUACAAGA